UUUUCCGGCGGCGGCGUCAGGGGUGGAGUCAGCGGCGGUGUCAGGGGCGGAGCAGCGCCGGAAGGGGCAGUAGCAGUGGCGGCAGUCUCGGCAGCCUCGGCAGCAGGAGCGGCGGCGGGCGAGCUUUACGCCUGUUGUAUUUAACUGCAGUCCAGUUUAAUGGAGCUGGAGCGACUGCACCGGGCCCGGCCCACGCCCCAGGAUGGACCUGAGUCCCCCUGCGAAGCUUUACGCCUGUUGUAUUUAACUGCAGUCCAGUUUAAUGGAGCUGGAGCGACUGCACCGGGCCCGGCCCACGCCCCAGGAUGGACCUGAGUCCCCCCCGUGAAGGUAUCCCUUGGUGACCCAGAGCAACCCAUGGACACCUCCUAGAGCCCCGCAGAGCACAGUAGAUCCCCUAUAGAGCCACUCAGCCUCAUAGCCUCCCUGUAGACAUCCCAUAGGGUCCCAGGGCGACCCGUAGACAUCCCAGAGCAACUCUUAGCAACCCGUGGACACCCCAUAGUUACGUACAGACACCCAUCAACAUCACAUAGUGACCCAUAGACAGUCCCCAGCCAUCCACAGCACCCCAUAGAGACCCACAGCAACUCCUAGAUACCCUAUACACCCCCACACGGCCCCAUGACGACCCACAGAGCCACAUAGACACCCUCCACUGCCACACAGCGCCCCACCCUAUAGUUCCCGAUAGACGCACAACACGCACCCCACGGCUUUUAUUGACUUAGGGUGUCGUGAUGCCACCAGGACUGCGAUGACAGCAGCAGCAGCAGCAUCGUCAAGCAGCACGGCACCACGUAGGGCCCCCAAUUACCCCGUCGCGCCCCAUAAGUACCCCCACACCAAUCGUUUUUUUAUUUGCUUUCAUUCAUUUUUAUGAACUUUUAUUCGAGAUUCAUUCAGGCUUGUUCACUUUUAUUCCUUUUUAUUUGCUUUGUAAUAAUUUGUAAUCACAUUAUUCACUUUUGCUUUUUAUUAUCUUUA
Molecule: long non-coding RNA, 987 nt
Organism: Strigops habroptila (Kakapo)
Lineage: Eukaryota; Metazoa; Chordata; Aves; Psittaciformes; Psittacidae
Exons: 4
Source: RefSeq, a predicted model, not a curated record